Molecule: RNA transcript, 439 nt
Organism: Erpetoichthys calabaricus (reedfish)
Lineage: Eukaryota; Metazoa; Chordata; Cladistia; Polypteriformes; Polypteridae
Exons: 3
Source: RefSeq, a predicted model, not a curated record
CCCAUGUUACAACUCUGUUUGGCUUCUCCAGCUUCUCUUUCUUUUUCAGUACUUUUUCUACACUUCUUUCUUGCUUAGUCUGUUUCACCUGGUAAAUGAGGUGGGAGUAUGUUCAAAGUUUGUUUUUGUUUGCAUUUUUUUUUUGUUCAGCAACUUAAUGGUUCUACCACUGACAUGCUCUGAAAGUAAUAGAAAAGUACCUAUUUUUACUGAAGCUGCUGUGCUCCAAUGACGCUAUUCGGAUUUCUAUCAAGAUACUUGCAGACUUGACAUUUAAGCCUAUCUCAAAAUGGAAUACAACAGCAAGAGGAAUGAAUAUAAAAGUGAUUUUGGAUAUCAACUCAAUACCUGGUGGCAAUCAAUGUGACCAAACCUAAGAAAAAAAGGAAACUUUUCAUGUGAACAGAAACAGCAAAAUAUGAAGAUAAUUAAUUCUGUA